Molecule: ribosomal RNA, 569 nt
Filed under: uncultured Alphaproteobacteria bacterium
Lineage: Bacteria; Pseudomonadati; Pseudomonadota; Alphaproteobacteria
Description: bacterial SSU rRNA
Rfam family: Bacterial small subunit ribosomal RNA
Source: RNAcentral
GGCGGCAUGCUUAACACAUGCAAGUCGCACGGGCAGGGGUAACUCUGUCAGUGGCGGACGGGUGAGUAACGCGUAGGUAUCUAUCCUUGGGUGGGGGACAACCGCGGGAAACUGCGGCUAAUACCGCAUGAUGACUCAGGUCCAAAGGCCGCAAGGUCGCCUGGGGAGGAGCCUGCGUCCGAUUAGCUUGUUGGUGGGGUAAUGGCCUACCAAGGCUCCGAUCGGUAGCUGGUCUGAGAGGAUGAUCAGCCACACUGGGACUGAGACACGGCCCANACUCCUACGGGAGGCAGCAGUGGGGAAUAUUGGACAAUGGGCGAAAGCCUGAUCCAGCAAUGCCGCGUGGGUGAAGAAGGUCUUCGGAUUGUAAAGCCCUUUCGACGGGGACGAUGAUGACGGUACCCGUAGAAGAAGCCCCGGCUAACUUCGUGCCAGCAGCCGCGGUAAUACGAAGGGGGCUAGCGUUGCUCGGAUUGACUGGGCGUAAAGGGCGCGUANGCGGCUUGUACAGUCAGACGUGAAAUUCCUGGGCUCAACCUGGGGGCUGCGUUUGAUACGUGCGGGCUUGA